AAGAGCCCAAACCAAAGAUUUAUCUUUGGGGUUGCGGACAGAACAUUAACGAGAAAUUAUGGUUAACCGAACACAACUGGAAAGUUGGACCGUAGGGGGUAAUAGUCCUGUAGGUGAAAAUUGUAAUGAUCAAGUUCUGAUCCAGAGUACCACGAGACACGUGAAACCUUGUGGGAAGCAGGGAGGACCACCUCCCAAGGCUAAAUACUACCUGAUGACCGAUAGUGAAGCAGUACCGUGAGGGAAAGGU
Molecule: ribosomal RNA, 250 nt
Filed under: Clostridium botulinum
Lineage: Bacteria; Bacillati; Bacillota; Clostridia; Eubacteriales; Clostridiaceae
Description: partial 23S ribosomal RNA
Rfam family: Bacterial large subunit ribosomal RNA
Source: RNAcentral